GACGAACGCUGGCGGCGUGCUUAACACAUGCAAGUCGAACGGAAAGGCCCUGCUUUUGUGGGGUGCUCGAGUGGCGAACGGGUGAGUAACACGUGAGUAACCUGCCCUUGACUUUGGGAUAACUUCAGGAAACUGGGGCUAAUACCGGAUAGGAGCUCCUGCUGCAUGGUGGGGGUUGGAAAGUUUCGGCGGUUGGGGAUGGACUCGCGGCUUAUCAGCUUGUUGGUGGGGUAGUGGCUUACCAAGGCUUUGACGGGUAGCCGGCCUGAGAGGGUGACCGGCCACAUUGGGACUGGGAUACGGCCCAGACUGCUACGGGAGGCAGGAGUGGGGAAUAUUGCACAAUGGGCGGAAGCCUGAUGCAGCAACGCCGCGUGCGGGAUGACGGCCUUCGGGUUGGAAACCGCUUUCGCCUGUGACGAAGCGUGAGUGACGGUAAUGGGGAAAGAAGCACCGGCUAACUACGU
This 467-nucleotide ribosomal RNA is filed under the name uncultured bacterium. RNAcentral describes it as "partial 16S ribosomal RNA". It matches the Rfam family "Bacterial small subunit ribosomal RNA", at positions 28 to 506 of the family's 1533-position model. The record is from RNAcentral.